Molecule: ribosomal RNA, 236 nt
Filed under: Bacillus toyonensis
Lineage: Bacteria; Bacillati; Bacillota; Bacilli; Caryophanales; Bacillaceae
Description: partial 16S ribosomal RNA
Rfam family: Bacterial small subunit ribosomal RNA
Source: RNAcentral
AGUCUGACGGAGCACGCCGCGUGAGUGAUGAAGGCUUUCGGGUCGUAAAACUUUUGUUAGGGAAGAACAAGUGCUAGUUGAAUAAGCUGGCACCUUGACGGUACCUAACCAGAAAGCCACGGCUAACUACGUGCCAGCAGCCGCGGUAAUACGUAGGUGGCAGCGUUAUCCGAAUUGUGGUCGAAAAGCGCGAGGAGGUCUUUCUUUAUAUGAAAGACACGGCUCAACAUCGGAGG